Molecule: ribosomal RNA, 426 nt
Filed under: uncultured bacterium
Lineage: Bacteria
Description: bacterial SSU rRNA
Rfam family: Bacterial small subunit ribosomal RNA
Source: RNAcentral
GUAGGGAAUUUUCCACAAUGGGGGCAACCCUGAUGGAGCAACGCCGCGUGCAGGAUGAAUGCCUUCGGGUUGUAAACUGCUUUUAUAUGUGAAGAAUAUGACGGUAGCAUAUGAAUAAGGAUCGGCUAACUCCGUGCCAGCAGCCGCGGUCAUACGGAGGAUCCAAGCGUUAUCCGGAAUCACUGGGCGUAAAGAGUUGCGUAGGUGGCAGAGUAAGCAAAUAGUGAAAGCGUGAGGCUCAACCUCAUAAACAUUAUUUGAACUGCUCAGCUUGAGUAUGGGAGAGGUAGAUGGAAUUUCUAGUGUAGGAGUGAAAUCCGUAGAUAUUAGAAGGAACACCGAUGGCGUAGGCAGUCUACUGGCCCAUUACUGACACUAAGGCACGAAAGCGUGGGGAGCGAACGGGAUUAGAAACCCUGGUAGUCC